RNAcentral lists this ribosomal RNA (270 nucleotides) under uncultured archaeon. RNAcentral's name for it is "partial 16S ribosomal RNA". It matches the Rfam family "Archaeal small subunit ribosomal RNA", at positions 477 to 747 of the family's 1478-position model. The record is from RNAcentral.
CAGCACCUCAAGUGGUCAGGAUGAUUAUUGGGCCUAAAGCAUCCGUAGGCGGCUCUGUAAGUUUUCGGUUAAAUCUGUACGCUCAACGUACAGGCUGCCGGGAAUACUGCAGAGCUAGGGAGUGGGAGAGGUAGACGGUACUCGGUAGGAAGGGGUAAAAUCCUUUGAUCUAUUGAUGACCACCUGUGGCGAAGGCGGUCUACCAGAACACGUCCGACGGUGAGGGAUGAAAGCUGGGGGAGCAAACCGGAUUAGAUACCCGAGUAGUCC